CAAUAGCGUAUAUUAAAGUUGUUGCAGUUAAAAAGCUCGUAGUUGAAUUUUUGCUUGCCGCCGAUGUCGGAACUUCCGUACGUUCGGCGGCGUGCAUCCUUGGGUGGAACCUGUGUGGCAUUAGGUUGUCGUGCAGGGGAUGCUCAUCGUUUACUGUGAAAAAAUUAGAGUGUUCAAAGCAGGCUUACGCCGUUGAAUAUAUUAGCAUGGAAUAAUAAGAUAGGACCUUGGUACUAUUUUGUUGGUUUGCGCACCGAGGUAAUGAUUAACAGGGACAGUUGGGGGUAUUCGUAUUCCAUUGUCAGAGGUGAAAUUCUUGGAUUUCUGGAAGACGAACUACUGCGAAAGCAUUUGCCAAGGAUGUUUNCAUUG
Molecule: ribosomal RNA, 372 nt
Filed under: uncultured eukaryote
Lineage: Eukaryota
Description: partial 18S ribosomal RNA
Rfam family: Eukaryotic small subunit ribosomal RNA
Source: RNAcentral